CGGGAUAUGGCGUAGCCUGGUAGCGCGUCUGCUUUGGGAGCAGAAGGUCGUGUGUUCGAAUCACACUAUCCCGA
RNAcentral lists this transfer RNA (74 nucleotides) under Triparma laevis. RNAcentral describes it as "tRNA-Pro". It matches the Rfam family "tRNA". Rfam says of the family: Transfer RNA (tRNA) molecules are approximately 80 nucleotides in length. Their secondary structure includes four short double-helical elements and three loops (D, anti-codon, and T loops). The record is from RNAcentral. Lineage: Eukaryota; Bolidophyceae; Parmales; Triparmaceae.